AUUGAACGCUGGCGGCAUGCUUUACACAUGCAAGUCGAACGGCAGCGCGGGCUUCGGCCUGGCGGCGAGUGGCGAACGGGUGAGUAAUACAUCGGAACGUGCCCAGUAGUGGGGGAUAGCUCGGCGAAAGCCGGAUUAAUACCGCAUACGACCUGAGGGUGAAAGCGGGGGAUCUUCGGACCUCGCGCUCUUGGAGCGGCCGAUGGCCGAUUAGCUAGUUGGUGGGGUAAAGGCCUACCAAGGCGACGAUCUGUAGCUGGUCUGAGAGGACGACCAGCCACACUGGGACUGAGACACGGCCCAGACUCCUACGGGAGGCAGCAGUGGGGAAUGUUGGACAAUGGGCGAAAGCCUGAUCCAGCAAUGCCGCGUGUGUGAUGAAGGCCUUCGGGUUGUAAAGCACUUUUGGCGGGAACGAAAAGGACUGUGCCAAUACCACGGUUCGAUGACGGUACCCGCAGAAUAAGCACCGGCUAACUACGUG
Molecule: ribosomal RNA, 484 nt
Filed under: uncultured bacterium
Lineage: Bacteria
Description: partial 16S ribosomal RNA
Rfam family: Bacterial small subunit ribosomal RNA
Source: RNAcentral